RNAcentral lists this ribosomal RNA (206 nucleotides) under uncultured bacterium. Its description in RNAcentral is "partial 16S ribosomal RNA". It matches the Rfam family "Bacterial small subunit ribosomal RNA", at positions 524 to 729 of the family's 1533-position model. The record is from RNAcentral.
GACAGAGGAGCCAAGCGUUGUCCGGACUGACUGGGCGUAAAGCGCCCGCAGGCGGCCGUGCGCGUGGGGUGUGAAAGCUCGCGGCUUAACUGCGAGAGGCCAUCCCAUACGGCACGGCUCGAGCCGUCCAGAGGCCGGUGGAAUUGCCGGUGUAGUGGUGAAAUGCGUAGAUAUUGGGAGGAACACCAGUGGCGAAGGCGGCUCAC